AAUGUUCGCUUUAGCAUCAUAAAUUCAAAUAAGAAUGAAACAGAGAAGGUUAGUAUGGCCCCUGCACAAGGAUGACAUGCAAAUUCAUGAAGUGGUCCAUAUUAAA
This is a small nuclear RNA of Lutra lutra (Eurasian river otter), 106 nucleotides long. NCBI's taxonomy places the organism in Eukaryota, Metazoa, Chordata, Mammalia, Carnivora, Mustelidae. The record is from RefSeq and is a predicted model, not a curated record.